This 252-nucleotide ribosomal RNA is filed under the name uncultured bacterium. RNAcentral's name for it is "partial 16S ribosomal RNA". It matches the Rfam family "Bacterial small subunit ribosomal RNA", at positions 524 to 776 of the family's 1533-position model. The record is from RNAcentral.
UACGUGGGGGCAAGCGUUGUCCGGAUUUAUUGGGCGUAAAGAGCGUGUAGGCGGCCGUACAGGUCAGCUGUGAAAACUCGAGGCUCAACCUCGAGACGUCGGUUGAAACCGUACGGCUAGAGUCCGGAAGAGGAGAGUGGAAUUCCCGGUGUAGCGGUGAAAUGCGCAGAUAUCGGGAAGAACACCCGUGGCGAAGGCGGCUCUCUGGGACGGUACUGACGCUGAGACGCGAAAGCGUGGGGAGCGAACAGG